UGGGGAAUUUUGGACAAUGGGCGCAAGCCUGAUCCAGCCAUGCCGCGUGCAGGAAGAAGCAUCUAUGGUGUGUAAACUGCUUUUGUACGGGAAGAAACACUCCUACGUGUAGGAGCUUGACGGUACCGUAAGAAUAAGGAUCGGCUAACUCCGUUCCAGCAGCCGCGGUAAUACGGAGGAUCCAAGCGUUAUCCGGAAUCAUUGGGUUUAAAGGGUCCGUAGGCGGUUUAAUAAGUCAGUGGUGAAAGCCCAUCGCUCAACGAUGGAACGGCCAUUGAUACUGUUAGACUUGAAUUACAAGGAAGUAGCUAGAAUAUGUAGUGUAGCGGUGAAAUGCUUAGAUAUUACAUGGAAUACCAAUUGCGAGGGCAGGUUACUACUUGUGGAUUGACGCUGAUGGACGAAAGCGUGGGGAGCGAAC
RNAcentral lists this ribosomal RNA (421 nucleotides) under uncultured bacterium. RNAcentral's name for it is "bacterial SSU rRNA". It matches the Rfam family "Bacterial small subunit ribosomal RNA", at positions 355 to 773 of the family's 1533-position model. The record is from RNAcentral.